Molecule: long non-coding RNA, 206 nt
Filed under: Spirodela polyrhiza (greater duckweed)
Lineage: Eukaryota; Viridiplantae; Streptophyta; Magnoliopsida; Alismatales; Araceae
Description: long non-coding RNA (SPOL_LNC002427)
Source: RNAcentral
CUCUCUCUCUGUGGCUAGGCCCUCUUCUCCAGUGUAGUGUAGAAGUCUCUGGUUUCCCUCUCCAGUGUGGCCCCUCUUCUGGGCUCGAUCCUCCCUCAGUCCGCGCGAUUGAUGGCACACGCAUGGCCGUCGCCUUGAGGAGAGCGGGGGAGGAGCAGAUCCGCCGUCGCCGCCGCCCGUUCCUCUUCCGAGACUAUCUCGCCGCC